Molecule: long non-coding RNA, 1371 nt
Organism: Hemicordylus capensis (graceful crag lizard)
Lineage: Eukaryota; Metazoa; Chordata; Lepidosauria; Squamata; Cordylidae
Exons: 3
Source: RefSeq, a predicted model, not a curated record
GUGCCUUCUACCUCAUUGCUGCCAUAUGUGCCUUCACAAGUCCAUUCGUCACCCUGUCCCCACUGCCUCAUAUAGCUUGUAAGGACCCAUCUUAUCUUGCCACCAGCUUGUGCUUCCUCAUCAGCAUUCACCCUAGCUUGAGUUCUCUUCCCAUUGCCACCUCCUUGCAUUCCCUCACAAGUUCAUACACCACUCCACCGCUGCCAUGGAAACAGCACUGGGCGGAAGUCCACUUCCCAGGGGCCCCCAGGUGCUUUCCCAAUGUCCCUGUUGUGAAUUCUCAGCCCCAUGGGCUCUGCUUCCUGUAGAAGAGGCCCUCCCAGCACUAGGGAUGUGCACAAACCUGUCCGGAGGCCCUUUUACGGCUUUCUGUGGACCUCUGAUCAGGUUCGAAAGACCGACGGUUUGACUAGUUCAAAGGUGGGGGGGAUACCUUUAAGGGCAGGGGGAGAGUGCUCUUACCCCUCCCACCGCAUUCUCCCCACAGGCACUGCAGGAUCCGGGGGGGGCGGGCAGCAGCGCACCUCCCUGCCGCCCUGUUGCCUCGUUGAACUGGUGGAGUUUUCUCCACCAUAGAAGCUCUCUCUGUAGUUGGAGGAUAAAUUUGAUUCUGUUGAAAAACUGUUGAUUGUGAUCAAUAUUCUUUGGAGGGUACUGUAGUAUCUUGUUUGACAGAAGUUACUACCCAUCCCACUCCAGACUAUUAGCAUUACAAGCCUCAAUAACUGGGCUGGGCACAGAACUGAUCUUCACAGAAUACCACCCGCACUUAAGUACCAUGAGUCUCUCUUUCUUUUCUUUUUUGGACAACACAUAGUUAUCAAAGGAUAUUUUAAGUCUGCACACUUGGCAACACUCCAUUCAGCCCAAAAGAGCAAUCAGGAUCCAAAUGGUGGAAUUUUCAAACUGCUGUUUUGACUGAACUUCUAUAAAUUACCUACCAAAUAAUAUAAUCAUGUGAGCUCAAACCACAAUGUAGAACUUCUUGAUGUUGAACACCAAAACUCUGUAAAACUUUCAACUAAGAUAAAGUCCCCCUCCCCACAUCCGCCUGAAAAGACACAUCUAAAUGAAAUUAGUGGAUUCAGUAAUAGUGACAGUGUGAUCCCACCUCACGAUUAUUCAGCAGUGAAUAAGGACACAAAAAGAUUAUCUUCCCAGAGCUUUCCCAUAAACCUCACAGUUCUCCUGCUUGAUUCAGUUCCCUUCAGGAUGGUGGUAUCAGCAAAACAGUGAAGGACAUGCAGGCCUUGAGCAGCAGCCAUCCCCACACACCUUUCUGGGGCCUGUUCUCUGUCGGCAGAUGAGCUCUGAGGAGCUGAAAUGAGCUCUUCUAGUCUUCUCCUUUCAAUAAAGUUGUGGCAUGUUUUA